ACUACGGGAGGCAGCAGUGAGGAAUAUUGGUCAAUGGCCGGAAGGCUGAACCAGCCAUGCCGCGUGAAGGGCAGGGACCUAUGGGCGUUAAACUUCUUUUGUGCGGGAGCAAUAAUGGUCACGUGUGGCCAGACGAGAGUACCGUACGAAUAAGCAGCGGCUAACUCCGUGCCAGCAGCCGCGGUAAGACGGGGGGUGCAAGCGUUAUCCGGAUUUAUUGGGUUUAAAGGGUGCGUAGGCUGUGAGGUAAGUCAGCGGUGAAGUGCCCCCGCUCAACGGGGUGAAGUGCCAUUGAUACUGGCUUGCUGGAAUGCGGCUGCGGUGAGAGGAAUGUGUGGUGUAGCGGUGAAAUGCAUAGAUAUCACGCAGAACACCGAUUGCGAAGGCAUCUCACGAAUCCGCGAUUGACGCUGAUGCACGAAAGCGUGGGUAUCAAACAGGAUUAGAUACCCGGGUAGUC
This 460-nucleotide ribosomal RNA is filed under the name uncultured bacterium. Its description in RNAcentral is "partial 16S ribosomal RNA". It matches the Rfam family "Bacterial small subunit ribosomal RNA", at positions 338 to 795 of the family's 1533-position model. The record is from RNAcentral.